CAACGAAACCAAUAGAUAUUCGACAAAAUGAUACAAAAUGAAUGGGGGUAGCCUUAGCUGUGAGAACCAUUAUUAAUUUAUUAAGUCUAACCCUAGAUCUAUCUCUUGCUAUAAAUACUGGGACGUCUUGAAUAACGAAAAAUCACUAAAGAAAAGAUUGCUUCUUGAAUAAUGGUGAGUUUCCCAAAAAACCCUAAUCUAUUAAAUUUCGUGAACUGAAACAUCUAAGUAACGAACAUAAAAGAAAUCAACCGAGAUAAGGGUAGUAGUGGCGAGCGAAACCCUUUCUAGCCAAAUAAAUUUGUUUUUAGAUAAAGAAGAUUACCAGAGUGGGUUAUUUAGUCCUGUAUAAAAUCUAAAAUCAUAAUAAAUAAUUUAAAGUAAGAGAAAUCAUACUCUGAACUGGGGAACCACCCUCAAAGGCUAAAGGAGGUAUUAUGAGCAACAGUGAAAAGUACUGUAAAGGAAAGAUGAAAAGACCCCCUAAAAGGGGAGUGAAAAAGAUCACGAAAAUCUAGAGGUAAAAAGCAGUUGAUUAUUAUAUUUUCAACUUACCUUUUGCAUAAUGGGUCAACGAGUAUAUCCUUUUAAUUCGCUAGCUUUUAUUCAGGCGUAUUGAAAAAACUGUAAUAUAUAAGUGGGAAGGAUUUUGCCCGAAAGCGAGUGAUCUACCUCUGAACAGGUAGCAAAAGAAGUAAAAUUCUUUGAAAGACCGAACUCAUGUGUGUUGCAAAAUACUGAGAUGAUUUGGGGGUAGGAGUGAAAGGCUAAUCAAACUCGCAGAUAGCUGGUUUUUCGCGAAAUCGAUAGAAGUCGAGCCAAUGAGAAAUUAUCUUAGGGGGUAGAGCGCUUUUUGGGUUAGGGCUUUACCGAUCCCUGAAAAACUACGAAUCCCUAUUUAGAUAAGAAUGUUGAGACAGGCUUAGGAUGCUAAGGUCAUAAGCCAAAAGGGCAACAGCCCAAAUUGUUUUUUAAGGUCCUAAAGCAAAGUUUGAGUGAGAAAGAAAGUUUUUUUGCAAUGACAAUCAGGAGGUGAGCUUGGAAGCAGCUAUCCUUUAAAGAAAUCGUAACAGAUCACUGGUCGAGCAAGAAUGCGUCUAAAAUGUAAGAGGACUCAAAGCUUUCACCGAUAAAACAAAUUUUAAUUCAUAGAUUAAAAUGGUAGCGAAACGUUCUGUAAUAAUCCUGAAGGUUACUUCAUAAAUCAGAAAUGCGAAUGUUGACAUAAGUAGCGUGAAAUUAUUUGAAAAAGAUAAUCGACAAAAUUUCAAGGUUUUCAUCGUACUGUUAAUCAGCGAUGACAUAUUUAGCCCCUAGGAUGAAGUUGAGAAAUCACUUUUCUAUGGGAAACAAGAAAAAGACGAAGUUAUUUUCUCUUUUAUUAUUUUAAAGUAUUUAAUUUAUUUAAAGAGACAUAAAUUUACUGGAAAUAAUUUCUUGUAAUUAAACUAUACUUGAAACCGACUCUGGUGAAAAGGCAGGUAAUCUGCUAUGUCGUUUGAGAAAAUCAUUUUGAAGGAACUCGGCAAAUUUACUCUGUAUCUUCGGUAAAAAGAGUACCCUUUUGGGUGUCACUAAAAAGAGGGCUGCGACUAGUUAAUAAAACUACAAAAAAAUGCAAAUUCGUGAGAAGAAGUAUAUUUUUUGACACCUGCCCAGCACUAGAAGUAAACAGGACAUGUGAAAGCAUAAAAUGGAAUCUAUAGUAAACGGCAGACCUAACUCUAAGGUUUCUAAGGUAGCGAAAUUCCUUGACGUCUAAUUAGCGUCCUGCAUGAAUGGUGUAACGAUGGCCCUGCUGUCUCCAAAAUGAGCUCAGCGAAAUUGAAUUCUCCGUGAAGAUGCGGAGUACCAACAAUUAGACGGUAAGACCCCGUGCAGCUUUACUAUAAGUUUCCACUGGUAAAAAAAAAGAAGUGUAUAGGAUAGGUGGGAAAAAUCUAACCAUUUUAAAAUUGGAAUACCACUCUCUUUUAUUUUUUUACCUCAUUUUUAAGAUAAUGGAUGCUGGGUAGUUUCACUGGGGCGGUGACCUCCUAAAAAGUAACGGAGGUGUACGAAGGUAAGUUCAGGUUGGUCGGAAAUCAACUUUGGAGUAAAAUGGCAAACACUUGCCUGACUGGAAGACUUACAAGUCAAUCAGAGACGAAAGUCGGUCAUAUUGAUCCGGGAGUUCUGAGUGGAAAGACUCUCGCUCAACGGACAAAGCUACGCCGGGGAUAACAGGCUGAUGAAUUCGGAGAGCCCUUAUCGAUGAAUUCGUUUGGCACCUCGAUGUCGUCUCAUCACAUCCUGGUAGUGCAGAAGCUUCCAAGGGUUCGGCUGUUCGCCGAUUAAAGUGGUACGUGAGAUGGGUUUAGAACGUCGUGAGACAGUUCGGUUCCUAUCUGUUGUUGGAUUGAAAAAUAAGCUACUGUGAUUUCUUGUACGAGAGGACCGAAAUUACUCAACCUAUGGCAUACGAUGGUUAAACUAAAAGCCUUGUCGAAUAGCUACGUUGAAUAUCGAGAACUGCUGAAAGCAUCUAAGCAGGAAACUUUGUUGCUUUAAAUUUUGCAUUUAGGAAAAGAAUAUUCCUAUAUAGGUAUUGAUUGCUAAAUUUAAAAACAACAUCCAAUAUACUAAUACUCGACGAUCAUAUAAUUCUAUAAAUUAA
RNAcentral lists this ribosomal RNA (2656 nucleotides) under Pyramimonas parkeae. Its description in RNAcentral is "bacterial LSU rRNA". It matches the Rfam family "Bacterial large subunit ribosomal RNA". The record is from RNAcentral. Lineage: Eukaryota; Viridiplantae; Chlorophyta; Pyramimonadophyceae; Pyramimonadales; Pyramimonadaceae.